GAGGAGGUGACUCAGUGGUAGAGCAUAGUCCUGGCAUAUCUGAGGUCCCAGGUUCGAUCCCUGGCAUUGUCA
RNAcentral lists this transfer RNA (72 nucleotides) under Erinaceus europaeus (western European hedgehog). It matches the Rfam family "tRNA". From Rfam's summary of the family: Transfer RNA (tRNA) molecules are approximately 80 nucleotides in length. Lineage: Eukaryota; Metazoa; Chordata; Mammalia; Eulipotyphla; Erinaceidae. The record is from Rfam by way of RNAcentral.